GACGGAGGAUGCAAGUGUUAUCCGGAAUCACUGGGCGUAAAGCGUAUGUAGGCGGCUAAGUAAGUCAGGCGUGCAAGCCCGUGGCUCAACCACGGAAUUGCGUUUGAAACUGUUUAGCUUGAGUGCAGGAGAGGAAAGCGGAAUUCCCAGUGUAGCGGUGAAAUGCAUUGAUAUUGGGAAGAACAUCUGUGGCGAAGGCGGCUUUCUGGUCUGUUGCUGACGCUGAGAUACGAAAGCCAGGGUAGCGAACGGG
Molecule: ribosomal RNA, 253 nt
Filed under: uncultured bacterium
Lineage: Bacteria
Description: partial 16S ribosomal RNA
Rfam family: Bacterial small subunit ribosomal RNA
Source: RNAcentral